Molecule: long non-coding RNA, 5413 nt
Filed under: Lactuca sativa (garden lettuce)
Lineage: Eukaryota; Viridiplantae; Streptophyta; Magnoliopsida; Asterales; Asteraceae
Description: long non-coding RNA (LSAT_LNC000367)
Source: RNAcentral
AAAAUCCAAGAGAUGGGGUUUUAAAAUUCAAUGGCAUUAGGGGUAUUUUAGGGUUAUAGAAAUUGAAUCCAUACACACAUCUCCAGAUCAACAUUCCACAUCAGAUCUUACUCGCUCACGCACACAUAUGGACAUCUUCAUCACUCUGUUUCAGAUCUAGAUCCAAUAUUGAUUCAGUUUUCAUGGCCGCUGAUCAUCAAUCGAUAUGAAAUCCAAAAUCCUCCAAAGGUCGAGAUUGAUAUCGUUUAUUAGGAUGCCAAAAGUCUUCAUGAAUAGUUGGCUCAAAAUCAGAUCUUAAAUUAUCCCCACUCAUUAAAUGAUCUUCCACCUUUAUCGUUCCUUCUUUCCUUCCUCCCCCAACACAUAUUCCAGUCAAUGAGCGGUUCCUCCCCUUGCUUCAGCGUUGCUUCACUGGAGAAUAAGGACCAUGAAGACCAAUGGACCUAACACAUCGGCCAUCGCAACGCUACCACCAAAUCGGAAGUUGUAGGAAGAAAAGAAGAUUACUCUGAGCCUUAAGGUCUUGAAAUCGUAUGUUCGAGUCUUUUCUCUCUUCUCUCAACGUCUGGAAUAAUAGAAUCUAUAAGCCUUCUCUUAUUUUCAUCGAUUUUGACAUUUUGUGCAAGUUUUGAGUUUAAGUUUGUUGAAUCAGGUAUUGUUAUCAAUUGAAUGAUUUGAAUCUGCAUUCUUUCAUAUGAAUUUGCAUUUACUGGAUGACUUGAAUCUAUUCUGGAAUUUCCUAUUUUGAGAUUUUCAGAUUGUGUAAGUUCCGGUUUUCAAAUUUUAUAUCUAUUGAACGACUUGAAUCAGAGUAUUUCCCUAUAGUUUUUUAUACAACUCGUUUAAUGGAUAUAUGCAUAUUUUAUCGGUUUCUGCAAUUGUUUGAUCAACAUGAUAUUACAUGUUACAAUAAAGAAUCAUUUGAUCAUUGGGUGGUUAAUAAUUUCAUAGAAAGUAUGCAUAUUUUCAAAUAGUACAUUAAAAAAUUAUAUUCAAGUUAAUGUCAAAUAUAUUAUAUAUAUAUAUAUAUNNNNNNNNNNNNNNNNNNNNNNNNNNNNNNNNNNNNNNNNNNNNNNNNNNNNNNNNNNNNNNNNNNNNNNNNNNNNNNNNNNNNNNNNNNNNNNNNNNNNNNNNNNNNNNNNNNNNNNNNNNNNNNNNNNNNNNNNNNNNNNNNNNNNNNNNNNNNNNNNNNNNNNNNNNNNNNNNNNNNNNNNNNNNNNNUAUAUAGAUGAUAGGAAGUUGUUAUUGUUUAUAAAAGUGCAUACAUAUACAUACGUGUAUAUAUGCACACUUUCUGUACGGUACAUAUGUGCACCCUUUAUAUACAUUACAUAUGUGUAUAUUUGUGGGUUUGUAUACACCUAAUUGCAUAUGUGAUUAUUACAGGAUAUAUUCACAUAUGAAUCAAAUAUAAUUCACAUGUAAAUUAAAUAUGAAUCACAUGUGAUUCACGUGUAAUUCACCAGUGAAUCAUAUAUGAAUUACAUGUUAUUCACGUGUAAAUCCCAUGUAAUUUACAUAUAAUUCACACAUGAUUCAGAUGUAAAUCACAAGUGAAUCACAUAUGAAUUACGUAUGAUUCAUAUGUAAAUCACAGGUGAAUCACAUACAAAAUACAUGUGAUUCACAUAUAAAUCACAAGUUAAUCACAUAUGAGUUAUGUCUAUAUGCACACAUACAUUUUGUGUGAGUGUUCUUCGUUAAUUAAUAUUUAAAAAAAUUCUUGUGAAUUUCUCAUUUGUAUAUUAAAAAAUACAAUCACAUGUGAAAAUCACAUUAUAUAAUCACAUUUGUAUCUUACAUGAUAUAUAGACAUUACUUUUGAAAGAAUUUUGUUUAAAAUGAAGUGGUAAAAACUGAUAAAUUGAAGAAAAUAUGGAAAUAUUGACAGUAAGAAAUGAUAACACUUUGAAACUUUGUAGCAUUUUUUAUAUUUUAUUUUAUAUUAAAAAUACUUAUAUUAUUGUGUUUAUAGAUUAUUAAAUAAAAACAAGUUUUUUAUGAUUAAAUAUGAGCAUUAUAGUUUAAGAAAUAUUCAUAUACGAACUUGAAAAAUAUGCAUAUACGCACCUGAAAAUGUUAUUUUUUUUGGUUAAAAAAUUAUAGUUUUUUUAAUAUUUCAUUUUUUUAUAUAUUUAUUUUUGUUUUUGAAAAUUAUUUUUUUAUAAAGAUGGUAGUUUUUUUAAAAAAAUUCAAUUUUUUUUAAUUUCAUUUUUCUAAAAAUAAUUAAAAAUCUGCGUUUUAGAGAAUAUCAAAAAUUAUUAAUUUUAUAAAAAGUCACAAAAUUUUGAUUUACUAUGAUAAAUGUUAGACAUUUUUCUUAAUAUUUCCAGUAACAAAUUUUUUUUAUCAUUAAAUAAGAUUGGUAAGAUGACAAUCAUGCCCUUAAUGAGUUAAUUUUGAUAUAACAGUCCACAUUUAGUUUUUGGAUUCUCGUAAAACUAUGAGUUCUCAACGAAUCUCAUUUAUAUGUAUGUAUAUAUAUAUAUAUAUNNNNNNNUAUAUAUAUAUAUAUAUAUAGUUAUUGUAUUGUAACUAUCUAUUGUGUAGAUGUAGUAUUGAUUGUGGACAAAGCAUUUUAGUUAUUUUAAGAAAACUAAUUAAUACUUAUUAUUUAAUUAAAAUAAUUGAAAAAUACCAUCUAAUUUCGGUAUAAUGAUAUUUUAGUCAAUUGAGAUAAAUUUAAAAAUGAAAAAUUCCAGAUUUUUGAGAUAAUUAAUUCUCUUGGAUUUAAAAAUUCUAAUUGUUUUAAUUAAUUCGAUUUUAAUUGUAAUAUAUCGUUCUUUUAGAAUACUCUAAAAAUGAAUUUUUUUUUGAAUGUUAUGCUUUAAGAAUACAUAUCAUUUUGCUAUAUACGAAUAUGUUACACAUGAUUUUGAUUUUUACAAUUAUAAUACAUAUGAAUCUACCAUACACAGAUUUUUUUUCAUGCAUUCAAAUAGAAUAAACUUCAUUGUCUAUGAGAAUCCAGAAUAUAUUUGAUCUUCUACCAGAAUCCAAAAUACGCCAAUCUUGUUUUUGAAUAUGAAAUGCACUUGAGAGAAUUCAUUGUCGCAAGCUCACUUCAUUCCAACCAUAGAAAAAGUUCGCAUCACGUGGUCUUCUUUAAGAAUCUUGAAUAAAUGAAGCAAUUUGCUUGUACUAGAAAAUUGUGACUAAAGACAUUAUGAUAUAAUACAUUAAUACAAAGACAUUCUGAUAGAAUAUACUACAGAAUGCAACCAAAAUUUCACAAAAACAAACCCAUACACAACAAAAACUCGUUUCACCUAAAAUAAAAAAUGACAAACAUAUGUCAUAAGAACAAAACAACUCCAAAACACUUUCAAAAUUGAUACAAUAAACCAUAAUCACAAUUCCAAAAACUUUCAAAACAGAAACAACUCCUUACCAAAUAAGACUAUAAGCUAUGUAUAUUAGAUGAUGCGAAUAAAGAGAAAUCGGAGGAACUUCAAUAAGCAUGAUUUCUUAAUUUACUUCUGUAAAAAAAUUACUUCAAUAAUCAUGACCCCCACUCAAUUUAUUGAAAACAUUUACUUUUGAAAAAAAAAUUCCUUUUGAUAACUCAACUUCAAUAAUCAUACUUUCUUACUUUGUAUACAACCGAUAAACAAUUAGGGAAAAAACAAUUAAACAAAAUUACUAUGUGCAUUUAAGAUGGCGGCUUCUAACACAACCUAAAAUUGAGAUGGUAGAAAUCGACUUUACAUAGAUAUAAAGGAGGAGAGGGAAGACACUUACUGUAACAGCCCGGAUUUCCAGGUAUCUUUUAUGUUUAUGUUUUUGGUGUUUUGAGAGGGGACUCGGCGAGUUGGAGCUCAGACUCGCCGAGUAGGAUCGCGGAUCUGGACGCGGGUUCGUGCCUGGACUCGGCGAGUCCGCGCUGUUUAAUGAAACCCGAAUUUCUCGGGUUUGGGACCUAUUUAAAGGGCCUUAUGGCCGUCAUUUGUGCUCACCAGUCCCUUGAGUGAAACCCUAAUCGAGUGUGAGCGUUUGGAGCAAAGUAGGAGGCCAUUAUUGAUCUUGGAGGUGUCAUCUUGCAAGGGAAAGGGAGGAUCAGCUAAGGGAAAGCAAGAGGAGCCACUUUCUGAGAGUUUGGAGUCCAGAACAUCGCUAUUGUGGUAAUAUCUUCGAGCUAUCCUCUUCUAUGUUGAUGUUUACAUUGAUUUAGGGCUUAUUGAGCCCUUUUGUGGCUAGAUCUAGUGCUCCCUUGGUCCCUUAAGCGAUUUAGACCAUAGAUCUGGACCCUUGGAGGUCCAGAGUGUCCCUUUGCCCAAGCUUUUUGUGAAUCAAUGGAGGUUUUGGAUUGGAAUCCUUAUGCCUUAGGUCAAAAUGCCAUUUAUGAGCCAUGGGGUGUGUUAUGAACACCAAGAUAAGGACUUUACGUGUUGAAUCAGUCUAGGAAGGCCAGAUCUAUGAAUUGUUGGAACAGAUCUGACCUUAGAAGCAAGUUUGAGUGAUUGCAUGGCAUGGACUCGCCGAGUCCGAUGAUCAGACUCGGCGAGUAGCUUGAAGAUUGCCCUCAGAUCGCCCAGUGAGUGGUCCAGUCGAGUCAUAGGUUGACUCAGUGAGUCAGGGCGAGUUAGAGAGGGUUGACAGGUGGUCUGAGUUGAACUGGGACUCGCCGAGUUGUUCUUGAGACUCGGCGAGUUGAGUCGGGGUGGCCCCGCGAUUCUUCCAGGUGGAACUCGUCGAGUCAGGGGGAGUACUCGACGUGUCAAAAGGGAAUCCUAGAGAGAUUGGUGAAAACGUCUAGACUCGCCGAGUCGCCCUAGUGCACUCGCCGAGUCCGGUCAAAGUUGACCGUUGACCGUUAACCAAGAGUUGACUAGUGUUGACUUAAAGGGUAGUCAACCUUAGUGGUAAAAAUGUUAAUAAGAGAUGUAUGAUGAUAUAGGGAGAUUGUAGCUCGGAGGAUCGAGCACGAGUGAUUUCGGGGUUUGCUAGCUAUCGAUAUUCUCGAGGUGAGUCUUCUCACUAUCCUAUACCCGGAAUGGUUUUGACUGUGUGACCGGAAGGUCGGAUAUGGUAUGAGACAUAUGUGCUAUAUGUGAUAAGUUAAUUGUGAUAUGUGUUAUGUAUGAUAUGCUUGAUAUGGGCCGGAAGGCAUUAUGUUAUGGUCCGGAAGGCGUUGUAAUGUGGACCGUAAGGUUGGCGUGGGUAGGACCGGAAGGUUUGCCCAGCAGGGACGGAAGUCCCCUGAGUCACAUGGACCGGAAGGUCAGGGCCUGGAAAGGCGUAUGUGCGUAAGUUAUAUUUUGGGGAACUCACUAAGCAUUUAUGCUUACAGUUGUUGCGUAUGUGUUUCAGGUACUAGCGAGGACCGUGGGAAGGCACCGGCGUGAUCUGUACACACUGAUGGAUGAUUUAUGAUCUUAGGAUUUAUAUGUUUGUAUUAUGACAUGAUACGUUG